This is a long non-coding RNA of Rhineura floridana, 2551 nucleotides long. RefSeq lists it as uncharacterized. The record is from RefSeq and is a predicted model, not a curated record. The transcript is spliced from 5 exons. NCBI's taxonomy places the organism in Eukaryota, Metazoa, Chordata, Lepidosauria, Squamata, Rhineuridae.
CGGUGCUUGCUGUCGGUAUCAUGGCGGAACAAAGCUAGAGUGGAACAAAACGCUGCACCACCCUCACAGUGGCCAGGACAAAACGUCCAUUCCACUUCAGCAAGCAGCCCUAUGCCGUCCUUACCAUGAGGCAGGUGACGGAGGGCAGCGCCGCAGCUGUUGUUUCUUCUGAGACACUGCAUUCUCCUCUGUUGGAUAGCAGAGAAACUGCAGCAGGAGGGUGUCGAUCAUAGAUGCACAUCCCUUUGGAAACCCACCCACCCACAAGUCCUGGAAUAGUCAAGUUGGUGAUGAGCAGGAAACCAAUUUUCAUGAGCUGAUGAGCCUUGAUGCAAGCCCCACUAAAUCCAAGCAAUCAACCUCACCACCAACCAGUGCUCUACCUGAAGAGGCAAUGAUUUUCCAUGAUAAAACUGGCCUCGGUGUUGCUUCUACGCAGAUGGAAAGGACGACUGCAUUCUAGGUGCCGAAAGUCACAAACAAUCUACGGAAGCCUUGUGGGGGUCAGAGCAGCCUUCUGCAACAUGAAGGCUAGUGUACUGCCCAUGGGAUUUCGUGCCAAAGGCAUGGACGUUUUGCCCGUAGAGGAGAUGGCAAGAGCCCUCAUCAUCAGAGGCCUGAACUGCAGCUGUUUCUGUACAGGAAAAGUGCUCUAGAGAUGAAUCGCAGCCAUUAAGCCGUGAUGAGGGCGAGCCAAGGAGCUAUUUUCCGUGCACGUCAUGCCAUACAUAUUUUCUUUUUCACUUAGGUGGCUAGCUUUUCUUUUUUCUUUUUCUUUUGCAAUUUGAGAUAAUGGGUGCCUAGGAAUUGAUGACAGGAGAGAGGUCAGGCUGGAGGAAGGGAUCUUUUGUGUGCGUGUGCGCGUGCGAGAGAGGCUCAGUUUGAGCUCGCAGAUGAGGGAUGUUAUGUACAGGACGACAAGCUGGGUCAUGGGACAAUAUCCCGCUAUCUAUAUAUCUCUAUAUAUCUAUACCUAUAUCUAUCUAUAUCUAUAUCUAUACCCUCACACAGGGCAUAUAUUCAUAUAAGUGCUCAAUGUGCUUACUAGCGGAGUUUGCUAUUGAUGGCAUCACAGGGUAAGAGCUUGUUUUCCUAUGCAGCACACAGCCUAGGGGUGGGGAACACAAGCUGCGUGUCGCAGGAGCUCCCUCCGUUUCAAUCAGUCAAGAGGUGAGCUUGUCAAGCAUGUAAUUAAUUACCACCCGGCGGUGACUCAUCCGAUGCUGUGGACCAGAGAGACCAACUCUCUCGGGCAACUUGGGAUUUAGCCUUCACGCUGCAAGAACCGCAGCUGUGGCAGGGAAAUGUGUUUGGCUGUAACAAGCGGAGGCUGGUGAUUAGGGCGAGUGGGUCCCUGCUACGCCAACCUCAGCCUGCCCUCAGCCACCCGCUACUUGCCUGCCCUUUUGCUUACUUGCCAGGCCAUGGGUGGUGGUGGUCCUGGUUACUACCCUCCUCUUCCUUAUUCUUGGUGUUGCUGCUUGCAGAACUCAGGAUGGGGGCAAAAUCUGCACGAGCUGCCUCUGCCUGUCUGGCUCUGGCUUCACCCUCUCUCCUUGUCUCCAUGUUGUAGUGAUCCUCCUCUUCCUCUUUGCCGCUAAGAGGCCGUCGGCAACAUUUGCUGCCACCUCUACUUUUCAUCUAGCUGGCUAUGAAACAAACUUGCGACUAAGAACUUGUGCCUGAGUGUGCUUCUCUUCCUCCUCUCUGUCAAUCCGCUGCCUGGCCUCGAUAAUGGACUGGAUGAGAGCUAACAAACUGAGACUCAAUCCAGACAAGACUGAGAUACUGUUGGUGAGGGGUUUCUCUGAUCAGAUGGUGGAUAUAUACCCUGUCCUGGAUGGGGUUACACUCCCCCUAAAUGAGCGGGUUCGUAGUCUGGGAGUUCUUUUAGAUCCUUCCCUGUCACUGGAGGCUCAAGUAGCCUCGGUGGCAUGGAAUGCGUUCUACCAUCUUCGGUUGGUAGCCCAGCUACGUCCCUAUCUGAGCAGGGAGGACCUCACAUCAGUGGUACAUGCUCUGGUAACCUCGCGACUGGACUACUGCAAUGCGCUCUAUGUAGGGCUGCCUUUGAAGACAGUUCAGAAGCUUCAGCUAGUGCAAAAUGCGGCUGCCAGACUGAUAACAAGAACUAAGCGGUCCAAACACAUAACACCUGUUCUGGCCCGCUUGCACUGGCUUCCAAUUUGCUUCUGGGCCAAAUUCAAAGUGCUGGUUUUGACCUAUAAAGCCUUAUACGGCGUGGGACCACAAUACUUGUUGGAACGCCUCUCCCAAUACGAACCUGCCCAUACACUGCGUUCUUCAUUGAAGGCCCUCCUCCGAGCUCCGACCCACAGGGAGGCUCGGAGGGUGGUUACAAGAACUAGGGCCUUCUCUGUGGUGGCCCCCGAGCUGUGGAACAGUCUCCCCGAUGAGGUACACCUGGCGCUGACGCUGUUGUCCUUUCGGCGCCAGGUUAAAACCUUCCUCUUUUCCAGGGCUUUUAAUCUAACUUAAUUCUGUUUUAAAUUGUACUGUAAUUGUUUUUAGAUCUCCCAUUCUCUGUAUU